Non-coding RNA from Claviceps cyperi, 91 nucleotides. The record is from the annotation of a GenBank genome assembly. Lineage: Eukaryota; Fungi; Ascomycota; Sordariomycetes; Hypocreales; Clavicipitaceae.
GGCCGCGUGGCCUAAUGGCUAAGGCGCUAGAUUUCGGUUCCCCCACUAUCGAACUCUCUAGAGAUUCCAGGUUCGACUCCUGGCGUGGUCG